UUGGAGGGCAAGUCUGGUGCCAGCAGCCGCGGUAAUUCCAGCUCCAGUAGCGUAUAUUAAAGUUGUUGCAGUUAAAAAGCUCGUAGUUGAACCUUGGGCCUGGCCGGCCGGUCCGCCUCACCGCGUGUACUGGUCCGGCCGGGCCUUUCCUUCUGGGGAACCUCAUGCCCUUCACUGGGCGUGUUGGGGAACCAGGACUUUUACUUGAAAAAUUAGAGUGUUCAAAGCAGGCCUUUGCUCGAAUACAUUAGCAUGGAAUAAUAGAAUAGGACGUGUGGUUCUA
RNAcentral lists this ribosomal RNA (283 nucleotides) under uncultured Ascomycota. RNAcentral describes it as "partial 18S ribosomal RNA". It matches the Rfam family "Eukaryotic small subunit ribosomal RNA", at positions 548 to 839 of the family's 1831-position model. The record is from RNAcentral. Lineage: Eukaryota; Fungi; Ascomycota.